GGAAUAUUGCACAAUGGGGGGAACCCUGAUGCAGCAACGCCACGUGUGGGAAGAAGCAUUUCGGUGUGUAAACCACUGUCGUGAGGGAAUAAGGCCUGUCCUCGGGCAGGAUUGAAUGUACCUCGAAAGGAAGCACCGGCAAACUUCGUGCCAGCAGCCGCGGUAAUACGAGGGGUGCAAGCGUUGUUCGGAAUCACUGGGCGUAAAGGGAGCGUAGGCGGAGAUUCAAGCGGAUUGUACAAUCCCGGGGCCCAACCCCGGACCUGCAGUCCGAACUGGAUUUCUUGGAUAGUUCCGGGGCAGGCGGAAUUCCUGGUGUAGCGGUGGAAUGCGUAGAGAUCAGGAAGAACACCGAUGGCGAAGGCAGCCUGCUGGGGACUUAUCGACGCUGAGGCUCGAAAGCGCGGGUAGCAAACA
This 417-nucleotide ribosomal RNA is filed under the name uncultured Fibrobacter sp. Its description in RNAcentral is "bacterial SSU rRNA". It matches the Rfam family "Bacterial small subunit ribosomal RNA", at positions 358 to 774 of the family's 1533-position model. The record is from RNAcentral. Lineage: Bacteria; Pseudomonadati; Fibrobacterota; Fibrobacteria; Fibrobacterales; Fibrobacteraceae.